RNAcentral lists this long non-coding RNA (241 nucleotides) under Elaeis guineensis (African oil palm). RNAcentral's name for it is "long non-coding RNA (EGUI_LNC046059)". The record is from RNAcentral. Lineage: Eukaryota; Viridiplantae; Streptophyta; Magnoliopsida; Arecales; Arecaceae.
GUAGUGGGCCAUUCGUGGCCACGCGGAGUUUGUUAUGGAGAGUAGUGGCGUCAGUGGGCCAUUCAGAGCCAUGUGGAGUUUGUUAUAGAGAGUGGAGUGGUAUCCAUUAUCGCGACUUGCCAAAGAGUGGUGGGGCCACGUAGAAUCUAUUACAGAGAGUGGAGUGGGGUAGUGGCCAUUGUCAUGACUUGCCAGAGAGUUCGGGCCUGACGGCUGAAGCUCGACUGGGAUGUCUGAUGGA